GACCGAUCCCCGUACGUCUUUUCUUGUGGAAGAUGCUAAGAGAGAGAUGGGCGAGAGCAGAGAGGAGAGCAGCCGCGGUGCUGGCCCGUAGAGCCGUGGUUGGUGUGCGAGGCGACCGACGAAGGGACCCUGCAUCCGCGUGGUAUGUUGGCCUGCUCGCCGAGCGAGCACUUCGAAACGGCAUGACCCUGUAGAGGUUCAUGCCGCUGCCAGAACAUGUCCUGCUCCACCGCCGCUGCCAUAGGCACCGUUUUCUUGAGCUGCCACAGGCUGGAGCCUCUGCCGGUGGAGAAGGAGGCGACAUGGACUGCCUGCUCUGGGUCUACGACUACAUCGUCGAGUUCUUCCAAUACAAGGACAUCCUGCCCGACGGCUCUCAACACGUGAGGUGAGAAAUCGAAACAUUAUGCAUUCUGAUUCUGUCAAUUGAUGGCGACCAGCCGACCAGGCCGAGAUUCGAUGUCUACGUUAAUCUCCGCCCUCGAUUGAGAAGCUCGACGACAUGCUGCUUGCCAAAUCUGAGUCUCUUUGUCCUUGCCAAACUAUUGAAGACGCGCAAGGUAAUUGUAGGAGAAGAAUAAGACGCAACGUUUUCUGCUAUCUGUUUAUCCUUUUAUUAUGUGAGUACACACAAAGAAGUUAACAACCUUCCGGGAACUGCAUCUCAUAGUUCAUGCCAACAACCGGGAGAAAAGAAAGGAAAGGAGAGAUGCGUGCUAGGAGCAGUACCAUCCGGUGAUUACGUACGUGCAUGCACGGGUCAGGCGUUCAUGUGGCUUAAUUUGAUGUUCACGCAGGAGAUCAUGGAUGGCUUUUAGAAGACCGUCUUCUGGUACUUUCGAGACAAGAGUCACAAGAAUAGUUACGACGACUUGGCGCCCUCACGUCCGGCAAGACACUGGGGCGAGGAGAGGUGGUGGAUGCCCGGGCCAUGCAUGACAAAGUUAAGUUGAUAAAGAUGCUAUUAUUUCCCCAUUUAGUGGUGCUUGGAGAGAUAUAUGCGUGAAGAUUCUGGACUCCAAGAGAAGCCCCCUUGGCAUUACCUUAUAUAAGUAUGCAAUUGUAUUUUGUGGCCAUCAAGCAAGUUUAGUUCUAACAAUACAAGGCUCCCAUGCAUUGAAGUUUAUUUCGCCUCAUAGUUGGCCUUGUAAGAGUGUGGAGGGAGAGCAACUAUCGGCGUGUCCUUUCCGCCUCCUUCUGGACCUCCCCACUGUAGUUCCGGCUCUCGUCGGCUCUUUUUCCUCGCAUCUUUCCAGGGUAAUGGUGGAGAAGAAUUUCUGGAAAUGGAUGUGAAAUCAAGGUGACAUGCCAGAUUAUAGGCCGACAAUGAAAAUAGCCAGGGAAGAAGAUGGCGAGGUAUGCGUUGUGUGUUGGAUCAGGUGGGGGCAACAAUCAGGCAGUGGAAAAUCUUAUGUUCAGAGGUCCAGGGUGCUCUACUUCUCCAGUGCUUAAGGCUUUUAGAUUGACGAAGAGGGGAACUGCUUAGAAUCGUCUAGACUAGCUGAUGGAGUUAGGGUGAUGAAGCUAUGCCGCUCUCUCCAGCCGUUCUCUAUCUACCUUUCAAUGAAAAACUCUCGAUGAGAGAUGUAAUAGGGCAGUAGUUUAAAACCCUGAUGUAUGUGUUCUUUGGCAGCUACUUUGGUUGUCGCUGAGAGCUGUUGUCGCCGAGAGCUGUUAAACA
Triticum aestivum (bread wheat) is the source of this 1681-nucleotide long non-coding RNA. RefSeq lists it as uncharacterized. The record is from RefSeq and is a predicted model, not a curated record. NCBI's taxonomy places the organism in Eukaryota, Viridiplantae, Streptophyta, Magnoliopsida, Poales, Poaceae. The transcript has 4 exons.